GGGUGAGAAAAAACAUCUAAUCAAUUUUGAAUUCAGGCUGUCACACAACAUGUGGAAUAAGUCAAGGGGUAUGAAAACUUUCUGAAGGCACUGUAUGUUUUGAAGCAAACUGGACUGGAGUACUAGCUAGUAAAAAAAAAUCAUAAUCCAACAGCAUAAGCACAUAAAAUACAAGAAUCACCCGAAAAUAUUGUUUACAGGGGUCAAUGGUUUACACUUUUAUUAAUAUGGAGGAGGAGCAUGUGUUCAAGCAACACUUCCGUAAGUACUUUUCCCACAAUGCACCAUGUCAAAACAUUUACCAACGGCCAGAAUUGAAAUCCGCUCGGGAAAUGUUCCAAAACAAACAUGAAACGGACCAUACAUAUGUAUAUCAAUAACAUUACCAUACUGUUACGUUAACAACUAGCGUUGCGAAAAUAAUUUCGAGAUGAAAAUGGCUCAACAAUCUUGAGGGCACUAUGUGUCUUUAAACCAAUUGCAAGUGAGGAAAGGCGGGACAUGAGAAUAUUAAACCAAUUGACACUAUGUUAUUCCUGAAUCAAUCCAAUAAAAUCGUUGUUUUCAGGAAGACAAGUAUUUCCCUCACCACCAGCAGGAUUCAACUAGCUACAGCCAGAGAGGCUUUUCUGGCUGAGAGCAAUAACCAAUGCAUGAACUAUGGUCUAUCUACAGGCAAGCCCUGUCCAUGACCACUGCACUGUGUGAGGUUACCAGCACUUCUCCAUUGAAAAACGACAGCUGAUCCCUCUAUGGACGUUUUAUCC
This is a non-coding RNA of Oncorhynchus mykiss (rainbow trout), 767 nucleotides long. The record is from RefSeq and is a predicted model, not a curated record. Lineage: Eukaryota; Metazoa; Chordata; Actinopteri; Salmoniformes; Salmonidae.